Molecule: long non-coding RNA, 295 nt
Organism: Wasmannia auropunctata (little fire ant)
Lineage: Eukaryota; Metazoa; Arthropoda; Insecta; Hymenoptera; Formicidae
Exons: 3
Source: RefSeq, a predicted model, not a curated record
UAUCAUGGAUGUGCAUUAGGUAUAUUAAUAAUACUUCUUGGACUUCUGAGUCUGAUUGGGCUUCGAAUUAUUGAUGUAUUAGAUGAAUUGGGAACAUUAGUCAAAUUUGUGCUUCUAUUCAUAUCGGCGUUAUUCGCUUUGAUGAUCACAUGUUACUCCGGUCAAAGAAUAAUGGAUGAAAGUCAAAAUGUAUCCCACGGAACAUACGCGACAGAAUGGUACCAAUUUUCACCAAGACUAAAAUCAUUAGUGUUAAUAACUCUUUACAGAAGUAAUGUACCGUGCGGAUUAAAGG